Molecule: ribosomal RNA, 525 nt
Filed under: uncultured soil bacterium
Lineage: Bacteria
Description: bacterial SSU rRNA
Rfam family: Bacterial small subunit ribosomal RNA
Source: RNAcentral
AGAGUUUGAUCCUGGCUCAGGACGAACGCUGGCGGCGCGCUUCAAGGCAUGCAAGUCGAACGAGAACCCCGGGCUUGCCUGGGGGGAGAGUGGCGAACGGGUGAGUAACACGUGAGGAACCUGCCCCGAAGACCGGGAUAACGCCGGGAAACUGGUGCUAAUACCGGAUGUCCUCGCUGGAUCGCAUGGUCCGACGAGGAAAUGGAUUCCGCUUCGGGAUGGCCUCGCGUCCUAUCAGCUUGUUGGUGGGGUAACGGCCCACCAAGGCAGCGACGGGUAGCUGGUCUGAGAGGAUGUCCAGCCACACUGGGACUGAGACACGGCCCAGACUCCUACGGGAGGCAGCAGCUAGGAAUCUUGCGCAAUGCGCGAAAGCGUGACGCAGCAACGCCGCGUGGGGGAAGAAGGCCUUCGGGUCGUAAACCCCUUUCAGGAGGGACGAAGCCAGGGCGGUGAAUAGCCGACCCUGGUGACGGUACCUCCAGAAGAAGCCCCGGCUAACUACGUGCCAGCAGCCGCGGUAAU